Molecule: long non-coding RNA, 408 nt
Filed under: Anser brachyrhynchus (Pink-footed goose)
Lineage: Eukaryota; Metazoa; Chordata; Aves; Anseriformes; Anatidae
Description: lncRNA (ENSABRG00000022345.1)
Source: RNAcentral
AAAGAAAAGAAAAGAAAAGAAAAGAAAAGAAAAGAAAAGAAAAGAAAAGAAAAGAAAAGAAAAGAAAAGAAAAGAAAAGAAAAGAAAAGAAAAGACGUUAACAGCCCAGCUUGCAGCUGUGCCAGAUGGAGCGGGUGGAAGUUGCUUCAGGGGGGGCAUGUGUGGGCAAUGGUAGAAGUACAGGAGAGAUCAGUUCUCUCUUUGCUGCUAGAAGCCAAAGUAAUCUCCCUGUGUGGUCAACUGUCAGCUCUUCCUUCUCUCCUUGGGCAGGAGGAAAGGAACUUUCUGUGUCAGCCCCACAAUGCCAUGCUGGAUGGGACACAUGGAAGUAUCUCCAGGAUCCACAGUGGAAGUGGUAGUGAAGGUGCUGCUGGGAGCUGCCUUUUGAAGUCUGGCAAUUACUACUGA